Molecule: ribosomal RNA, 403 nt
Filed under: Enterobacter sp. VC49
Lineage: Bacteria; Pseudomonadati; Pseudomonadota; Gammaproteobacteria; Enterobacterales; Enterobacteriaceae
Description: bacterial SSU rRNA
Rfam family: Bacterial small subunit ribosomal RNA
Source: RNAcentral
AACGCGAAGAACCUUACCUGGUGUUGACAUCCACGGAAUUUGGCAGAGAUGCCUUAGUGCCUUCGGGAACCGUGAGACAGGUGCUGCAUGGCUGUCGUCAGCUCGUGUUGUGAAAAUGUGGGUUAAGUCCCGCAACGAGCGCAACCCUUAUCCUUUGUUGCCAGCGGUCCGGCCGGGAACUCAAAGGAGACUGCCAGUGAUAAACUGGAGGAAGGUGGGGAUGACGUCAAGUCAUCAUGGCCCUUACGACCAGGGCUACACACGUGCUACAAUGGCAUAUACAAAGAGAAGCGACCUCGCGAGAGCAAGCGGACCUCAUAAAGUAUGUCGUAGUCCGGAUUGGAGUCGUGACAACUCGACUCCAUGAAGUCGGAAUCGCAGUAGAGUAAUCGUGAUCAGAAUG